This 329-nucleotide unclassified non-coding RNA is filed under the name plant metagenome. Its description in RNAcentral is "partial contains 5.8S ribosomal RNA, internal transcribed spacer 2, and large subunit ribosomal RNA". The stretch from base 1 to 105 matches the Rfam family "5.8S ribosomal RNA", at positions 50 to 154 of the family's 154-position model. The record is from RNAcentral.
GAAAUGCGAUAAGUAAUGUGAAUUGCAGAAUUCCGUGAAUCAUCGAAUCUUUGAACGCACAUUUCGCCCUCUGGUAUUCCGGGGGGCAUGCCUGUCCGAGCGUCAUUGCGAACCCCUCAAGCACGGCUUGUGUGAUGGGCCCUCCCGCGUCUUGGUCGUCAAGACGGGCCCGAAAUGCAGUGGCGGCUUCGCGGUUAUCCGAUCAGCCAGAGCGUAUGGGGACUUUCUCUCUGUCACACGCCCGCGGCGCGGACCGACGCCUGUCGACCUUCAUUCAUCGUUUUCUCGGUUGACCUCGGAUCAGGUAGGGAUACCCGCUGAACUUAAGC